This is a long non-coding RNA of Macadamia integrifolia, 940 nucleotides long. RefSeq lists it as uncharacterized. Lineage: Eukaryota; Viridiplantae; Streptophyta; Magnoliopsida; Proteales; Proteaceae. The transcript has 4 exons. The record is from RefSeq and is a predicted model, not a curated record.
UGUUUUACUACCCUAGAUUUCACACAUAAAUGUGCUCAUCAGUAAGCUUGCAUAAAUAUUCAUCCGAAGAAACAUAAGAGUAUAAGAAGGGUAGAUAAGUUAGUGUCUGAACAAUUCGUCCCUUUCCGUGCCAUUUACAGACAGCAUUUGACAGACCAGGAUCCAGCUCUCUGCCAUUAAGCUCUCCCAGUCUGCUACCAAAUAUUUGCUAGUGGUUUGUAUCCUAAUGUUGUGGAGGAGGAGAUCAAGGCAAAUAUUUUUCUCAGUUUGGGAAACUUGUCUAUGCUAAGAUUCUUUUGGGUUAAGGAUGUUGUUUUGUUCAAUUUGGAACUCGCCCAUGCUGUGCUUCUGUUGAAGAAACAAAUAAAGAGGUCGCAUGGAACUAUUAUUGGUCAACAAAUAGUUCACCUUUUAUGGAGUAGAAGCUCAACAACUGAUGAGUUCAUGAGAAUCAAGAUUUACACAUCUACGGUUGUGCAGAGAUGGAGAAGCCAUUGAUUCCAAUCUCAUUGUAGAAUAUGGAGACUUUGAUUGAUGAUUUCUAAUUCCAAUCUGAAGCUUCUACCCACUGUCAAGGCUUCCACGGCCAAUGACAGUGCAAUACAGAACGUCUUCUCCUCCACCCCUGUUACUGGUUUUUGACCUGUAUUGUUGUAGAAAAGCAGUACAGAAUGUCUUCUCCUUCUUAGCUGCUGAGACAUGUAGACACCAAGACCUCUUCUGAGAAUCUUUUAGGCCUCAUACUGGUGAACGCCAACGACAUUUAUGGGAUAUGUUUUUUUUGCUUCUUUUGAAGAAACUCUGUUUUUUAUUGUUUCUUUUUGCUAAUUUCAAGCAAAUAUUGUCUAUGCAUACAGUUGUGGCAUCUUCUUUCAGUUAUCGUUAUACUAUUGCAGUCUUCAUUCUGAAUGUUCAAUUAAAUGGAAUGUUCAAUUGCUGC